GAUGAACGCUGGCGGCGUGCCUAAUACAUGCAAGUCGAGCGAACAGACGAGGAGCUUGCUCCUCUGACGUUAGCGGCGGACGGGUGAGUAACACGUGGAUAACCUACCUAUAAGACUGGGAUAACUUCGGGAAACCGGGGCUAAUACCGGAUAAUAUAUUGAACCGCAUGGUUCAAUAGUGAAAGACGGUUUUGCUGUCACUUAUAGAUGGAUCCGCGCCGCAUUAGCUAGUUGGUAAGGUAACGGCUUACCAAGGCAACGAUGCGUAGCCGACCUGAGAGGGUGAUCGGCCACACUAGAACUGAGACACGGUCCAGACUCCUACGGGAGGCAGCAGUAGGGAAUCUUCCGCAAUGGGCGAAAGCCUGACGGAGCAACGCCGCGUGAGUGAUGAAGGUCUUCGGAUCGUAAAACUCUGUUAUUAGGGAAGAACAAAUGUGUAAGUAACUAUGCACGUCUUGACGGUACCUAAUCAGAAAGCCACGGCUAACUACGUG
Molecule: ribosomal RNA, 497 nt
Filed under: uncultured bacterium
Lineage: Bacteria
Description: partial 16S ribosomal RNA
Rfam family: Bacterial small subunit ribosomal RNA
Source: RNAcentral